CCUGGUGGCUCAGAUGGUAAAGCGUCUGCCCGCAAUGCAGGAGACCCAGGUUCGAUCCCUGGGUCAGGA
RNAcentral lists this transfer RNA (69 nucleotides) under Bos taurus (domestic cattle). It matches the Rfam family "tRNA". From Rfam's summary of the family: Transfer RNA (tRNA) molecules are approximately 80 nucleotides in length. Their secondary structure includes four short double-helical elements and three loops (D, anti-codon, and T loops). Lineage: Eukaryota; Metazoa; Chordata; Mammalia; Artiodactyla; Bovidae. RNAcentral also lists the same sequence under 2 other names. The record is from Rfam by way of RNAcentral.